GGCCAGCAUGAUGUACUGGUUUAAGUGUUGGACUACAACUCUGGAGACCAGGGUUCAAUUCCCAGCUUGGCCA
Molecule: transfer RNA, 73 nt
Filed under: Phrynosoma platyrhinos (Desert horned lizard)
Lineage: Eukaryota; Metazoa; Chordata; Lepidosauria; Squamata; Phrynosomatidae
Description: tRNA-OTHER
Source: RNAcentral